Long non-coding RNA from Oreochromis aureus, 1105 nucleotides. RefSeq lists it as uncharacterized. The record is from RefSeq and is a predicted model, not a curated record. The transcript is spliced from 3 exons. NCBI's taxonomy places the organism in Eukaryota, Metazoa, Chordata, Actinopteri, Cichliformes, Cichlidae.
CACGUUCAGUGUGGUUCGGCGCUGAACGUGAACGUAUUUACCUGCGUCCCUGUGUGAGUUAAUACUGUGUGCGUGGUUACCACAGCGACCCUCAGCCUGCCGGAAAUGCCCCUGUGCCUCCAAACACGUGCAAGCCACACCUGACGCUAAACACCAGCUUUCCUGCCUGGAAAAACUCCCACACGUACCGUUCAGGAGGAGGAGGAGUGCGAUCUUCAUCCUGCUGUGAGGCUCAGAGUCCUGAUAAACCCUCUGCUGACCGAGAGGACCCGCCUGUGAGCACUCAGUCCUGCAGUGUAACGAUCAGACAGCAUUGCUCUGCUGGGCUCACCCGGCUCUCAUCCACAAACCGGUUUCACCGCCUCAGGGUUCAACUCACACACCGACACUCAAGCGCGUACAUGGUGCACGCCUCACCAUGGCAACUGUUCAAUUAAAAAACUAGAGCUUAAGUUUUGUUUUCAUUUUCAGAUAAUGGUGAUGAAUCAGAGUCAAGGCAGGUGUGUGUGCUUCAGAUUCAAAGAUAAGAUUAUUAGUGCAUGCAGCACAUGUCUGUUAAUAAACAGGCCUGUGGUGUGGUGUGCAGGUCUUCUACACUUUCUAAGGUCAUCUAUUACUAAUUAAUAAAGGGUCACAGGAGCCUCCUACAUCCUUCCUGCUCCCAGAGUUUGUGUCUGCAGCAACGAGUCCUGGGGUAUUUCCCAGUGCCAAGUACAUCAAGUAUGUCAUGUUCAAAUUUGGUGUGAUGGUAGAUACCAAUAUGCAACAUGCAUUUGUCACCUUGGAAGUACAAUAUUCAAAGUGAUUCCUGAAAGAAACUUUGGGACAACUGUUGCACAAAAACAAGGAGAAAGAGGACGAGUUAAUACAGGCUGGAGAAUCACAGUGUGACAUGACAAAGAGCAAAAACAUUAUUAUACAGUAAAAUAACAUAAGGUUACAAUAAUGUAACGUAAUGACUGGGUGAGAAGGUCAACACAGUGAGACAAACCUCACCAACUCCUCCCCACACCACCUGUGACACAGGGAUGGUGUUAGAGUCACGUCUAUUCAUAGAGCACACUGAGUGUUUCAAAAUAGCAGAUCAGACGGUUUAGCACAGGUG